UUGCACGAGAGUUGGCAGUAAUCUGAAAUGCGCGUCAUUAGUCGGUUUUCAUCUUUUGUCAGCCCAUUUUCAAUACUAAUUUGCUAUUGAUCUAUACGAUUACACGUAAACAAUCAAACCUACAAACAAAGCCCUGUGCUGACUCGACUGUCAAUUCUGGUGCAACAGAUGGUAUCUUUGAAGUGUAGUGAUACGUCAGUCUGUAAAAGUUUACUGGUCGCGUAAGCAUCGACAAAUGUUACAAUUCUCAAAGUAUAGUUGCGCACAGUUAAAAAUAGAAACGCCGGUCUAUGGAAGCGUACUGAAAACUCGGUGAAAAUCGUCUCUACUCGGCCGCAAUCUCUGAUACAUGGUUCGGUAGAUUAUCUAGUUUGCGCUUCGCAGAGGCGCCCACGAGGUGAAAUGACUGUGAAAUUGUACCUAUAAAAAGAGGAUGUUUUUUUAAAUUAUUCUCGCGAAGAUCCAUCUUGGAGCAGUGGUACAUGGCGAACUAGGUUCGACUUACAAAAGAUUAAUAUGUAACCUACCAGAAUUCUUCUCAAUGCCUGUGACAUAUUUAAACGCAAGUGAAUAAUGUGUCAUGAAACAACAGUUUCAUUAGAAAUAAUGACGUUACUUCAGAUAACUUGUACAUUCAUGAUUUUAAUAACUAUUAAGAAAUCCUUAAAUGUAACUCGUCAGUUCUUAAAAGAUAAUUAUAUAAUACUCAUUAAAUAAACUAUCAAUGAAAUGCAGCCGCUAAUCAUGUAAACAUUGCGUUUAAAUGAAUAUUACAAAAUAAAUAUGAUGAAUAUUGUUAAUGCGAAAUAUGAAUCCAAUGAUACAAUAAAAUCAUAAUAAAUAUUACUAGUUGAAGAUAUGCAGCAAUAUUGCAGCAAUUUCUGAAUUUACUAGUACCAGAGGAUACUUACUACAAUUUACGUAAGUGCAGUUCAAUGAGCAGUCUAUCAUUGACCUUACCAACCGAUAAUUAUUAAGAACGGGGAAAUACCGAAGAAGAAACUAAUUGCCUGGAAAUGAUUGAUAAAUUAUCUCAUUAACCACUGUUUUGAAUAAACAACAUUUUAUACUACUACAACCUAUCAUUAUACUUUACACUUCGUAAUAGUAUUUGCAUACAACGUAAAGUAUUAACUCUUUAUGCGAAUAAAGCGGUUGUUAUCGAAGAUAUCGCUGUGAAUGGUUAAACAGGCAUACAUUAAAUUAAAUAUAAAAUUUAUUACAAUUUUGUGUGUCCAUUUAGUAUGUAUCUGGAACAGGCUAUAACCCUGUUCUUGUUGAAGUUGGAAAAAAUCGCAAAGGAAAACUUUCCACUAUCUGAGAGACUGUCAUAACACAAUACCAGUUUUUUCAUAAAUGCAUCGAUGCACUUGAAAAGUACAAUUGCACCUUUUUUUAAAUAAAAUGCGAGUUUUCGAUUAAUUCGCAAAAUUAUAUUUUUUUUAUAAAUAAAAAUGUUUAAUGUAAACGGAAUAAAUGCAAUAUAAAAAUUGGUGGUAAAUACAGGUCACAAAUAACUCAUUUCCGCCGGCGUACUGUGAAGUUGGAUAUUUGACUAACUAAGUAAUACUACGUUUGUAGCGUUGAAGUAAGGCCACGAUAAUAAUAGAACCUUGAAAACUUCAUGCAACCUAGAACCAUUUCAAUUGCAUACGAUUUUUUUCGUUGCAUGCAUCUUUUUAUGAAACAUUUUUGCUAAAUAUUGUUUUGGUGGCUCACGUUGACUAAUUUAUUUCCUUAUAAGUCGAUUAGCCAUUUUGUUUAUUAAAGUGUUAAAAAUAAAAAUAAGUAGAAUUAUGCCGUUUAUUUUGAAAGUGGACUAAAUCAUAUCUUUUUAGUUUCAACAUAUUUGAAGAUUUGUAUUUGAAUAGUUUGAAAAAUAUUUUUAUACCAUGUAACAAAAUGUUUCAAAACAUAUUUGGCCUUGAAAAAUAAGAAUUUAUUAUGACUGUGUAAUGUUAUAUGGAACUUAUAAGAAAAUAUGAUUUGUGACUUAAAAUGACUUACACCAUUUUAAAAAUUAUCAUAUUCGAUAUUUUCGAAUUACAGAAUCAAACCUCGAAAUCAAAAGAUUGAUCUGUUCUUCGUUUAAAUUUGUACUUUUUAUAAGAUAAAUGUUCAAUGAUUCAAAGAACUCAAAAGAAAAAUAAACGAAAAUGCAUAUCUACUCGAAGACAGUAUACCACAUUUUUUAUUCGCUUUAUCAAAAUCUGUAAUUUAAAUAAAAACGUUGAUUGAAAACCUAUAACUUUAUAUUUUACAAGAGCAGUAUCAUCGCAUAAUACUUUAGAAUCAAAAGAUAAAAUAACAUUUAUUCGAACUCAACAGAAAAGGAAACAAAGGACAUAUUCCUGAAAAAUACAAAUUCCUGAUUAAAUCAUUGAUCUCAAAGUGAGAAGGCACGCCACAUUUUUCAUUCGUUUUAUUAAGAUCCACGGAUGAAAAAUCAAAGAUGUUGAUCGAACAAUUGUAACAGUAUGUCUCACAAAUAUUUUUGUGGAACACUACUGCGUAGUAUGAUCCGAUAAUACUCCACAUUUUU
Molecule: long non-coding RNA, 2542 nt
Organism: Nomia melanderi (Alkali bee)
Lineage: Eukaryota; Metazoa; Arthropoda; Insecta; Hymenoptera; Halictidae
Source: RefSeq, a predicted model, not a curated record